Molecule: long non-coding RNA, 1890 nt
Filed under: Agrilus planipennis (emerald ash borer)
Lineage: Eukaryota; Metazoa; Arthropoda; Insecta; Coleoptera; Buprestidae
Description: uncharacterized LOC108735461
Source: RNAcentral
CUGAUUGCGAUCACGUUUUGAUUAGUUUAGACGACAAUUACUCCUCUACGAUAUAUCUCGUGUUUAUCAAACCGUCUAGAAAUCUUAACUAUAAUAUUUAACUAGAAGUUUCUCGUGUUUAAUACUGUCACAUGUAGUUUCAUACUCGCAGUACACCUCGCGAGGUCAGUGUAGCGAUCGAGACAGAAUUAAUGUAAGCGCGGUACAAUUAUUCAACUUGCAGCGGAUGGUACAAUUGGUCAAUCGAAAUUCCACAUGAGAGAUGCUAAGAUCGCGGAGCUGAGAAGGUUAGAAAUGAAAAAAAACGGAGGUUGGGAAGGCUACAGGCAGACCUAUAUUAGUUUACUGUUCGCAAAUAGUUAAGGAUGUGGGUUGUUCUAGUUUUAGGGAAAUGCGAAGAUUAGCUCAAGAUAAGAAAGAGCGGAGGUGCGUGUCCAACCAGUCUUAGGACUCACGACCUUAUGAUGAUGAUGAUAAUUGGUGAUCGUAUGUAUUGGUAUAAAAUGAAAUGAUUUUUCAGUCUUUAGAGCUUUAGAGUCUGUCCCUUGUUAGGUUUUACCAUUGACGAUUAAUAAUUAGUAAACUAUACAGUCGAAUUUAAACGUUUUCGGAUGUGACUAGAAUGUACGUAACCAUCUUCUUUUCAUUGUCGAUUUCUAUUUAGUCGACUUCGUAUAACCGUAGAUUUUAGCGUAUAACAUAAUGAAAGCAAUUCGUAAUGAAAGUUACACGCACAGAAUAUACCGGAACCGAUUCGCGGAAUUUGUUCCAAACUUCUGUUUUUGAUUUACCAAUCAUGUUAAAAAUAAUCCUCUUUUUUCUCUAUAUUCCUACAUCGGCUUUUUGAUUAUGUAGAGAAGAAAGAAAUACAGCUCUCAUAAAAUUAAUCAUUAAUUUAGGCUAGUAGGGACUUGAUCGUUCUACUUCCUAUAGUUAUUUCUUAAAUAACAAGGCUUUAGUACCUAUACAGGGCGAAAAAUUGGUAUUUGGACAAACAAACAAAAAUUAAUCUGUAUCUAGUUCUAUUUUUCAUAAAAUUUCCUGAAGCUAUGAUAUUUUUUGAAGAUUCGGGCUGUAGGGCCGUGGUCUAAGUGAACUAUUCUGUCCAGGAUCCUAUAGCCCGAAUCUUCAUUCUACUAUGGAUUCCGGCUGUUAAAGGCUAUGUUCUUAUAUGAUAUUUUUAUCAUAAUAAUAUUAAAAGAAAUUAAUAGAAAGUUAAAAUAGUUAAUAAUAUUUGUCUACGUUAUUAUUUACUUGGGAAAAUAUAUUUAGAGGAGGCAGACUACUUACUACCAUUAGGAUAAGUAAAAACAGUAUUAGAGAUUGACGACGUAAACCACGCAUCAGCCGCUUCACCACCCCACCACACUUCUAAUCCUUAUUGACUCUCAUUAUUAUUCAUUUCGCUCUUAAAAUAGGUACUUUAAUAGUAUCUACACGCAGCAACCAACUGAUAGAUCUUAGAUUGUCAUUUGUCAAUAUUUGAUUACGAUGUAAGUACCUACUUAAUAAUAUUGUACCUACUACCACGUUGCAUCUAUGUAUUAAAGCGUGAAACCAAUAUGUUAGAGUUUGCUGUUGCUAUCCGUAUCUUCUUGAUUUGUUGAGUAUUAAUUUUAGUUGUUUGCCCAGUGUCCAUUUUCAAUUUUCACUGAUGAUCGUUUACUACCUUAUGUAUUCAAUUUUUACUAGAAUUUCUGCAUGUGAUGAGCCGUAACAGAAGUUUGACAUCAGAUCAAAGAACUAGGAUUAGUCGGAUUCUUGAAAGGCAACAUCUGAAUGGAACAAUGGUGAAUGUUGUACAGGACCCAGCAGUUUGUUAGAUAUAAAAUAACAAUGAAACUUAUUUUGUGAAAAACUGAUUUAAAUUAAAUUUGAUAGCAAUGUGAA